UUCUUGGAGAGUUUGAUCCUGGCUCAGGACGAACGCUGGCGGCGUGCCUAAUACAUGCAAGUCGAGCGAAUCAAUAGGAGCUUGCUCCUGUUGAUUAGCGGCGGACGGGUGAGUAACACGUGGGCAACCUGCCUGUAAGACU
Molecule: ribosomal RNA, 142 nt
Filed under: Bacillus salipaludis
Lineage: Bacteria; Bacillati; Bacillota; Bacilli; Caryophanales; Bacillaceae
Description: Bacillus sp. WN066 partial 16S ribosomal RNA
Rfam family: Bacterial small subunit ribosomal RNA
Source: RNAcentral